RNAcentral lists this ribosomal RNA (800 nucleotides) under Halobacillus sp. JSM 101070. Its description in RNAcentral is "bacterial SSU rRNA". It matches the Rfam family "Bacterial small subunit ribosomal RNA", at positions 36 to 805 of the family's 1533-position model. Lineage: Bacteria; Bacillati; Bacillota; Bacilli; Caryophanales; Bacillaceae. The record is from RNAcentral.
CGGGGGGGGUGCCUAAUAAUGCAGUCGAGCGCGGGAAGCGAGUGGAUCCCUUCGGGGUGAAGCUCGUGGAACGAGCGGCGGACGGGUGAGUAACACGUGGGCAACCUGCCUGUAAGAUCGGAAUAACUCCGGGAAACCGGGGCUAAUGCCGGGUAAUACUUUCUUUCGCAUGAAGGAAAGUUGAAAGAUGGCUUCUUGCUAUCACUUACAGAUGGGCCCGCGGCGCAUUAGCUAGUUGGUGAGGUAACGGCUCACCAAGGCGACGAUGCGUAGCCGACCUGAGAGGGUGAUCGGCCACACUGGGACUGAGACACGGCCCAGACUCCUACGGGAGGCAGCAGUAGGGAAUCUUCCGCAAUGGACGAAAGUCUGACGGAGCAACGCCGCGUGAACGAUGAAGGUCUUCGGAUCGUAAAGUUCUGUUGUUAGGGAAGAACAAGUACCGUGCGAAUAGAGCGGUACCUUGACGGUACCUAACGAGGAAGCCCCGGCUAACUACGUGCCAGCAGCCGCGGUAAUACGUAGGGGGCAAGCGUUGUCCGGAAUUAUUGGGCGUAAAGCGCGCGCAGGCGGUUCCUUAAGUCUGAUGUGAAAGCCCACGGCUCAACCGUGGAGGGUCAUUGGAAACUGGGGAACUUGAGGACAGAAGAGGAGAGUGGAAUUCCACGUGUAGCGGUGAAAUGCGUAGAUAUGUGGAGGAACACCAGUGGCGAAGGCGACUCUCUGGUCUGUUUCUGACGCUGAGGUGCGAAAGCGUGGGUAGCAAACAGGAUUAGAUACCCUGGUAGUCCACGCCGUAA